AUUGAACGCUGGCGGCAGGCCUAACACAUGCAAGUCGGACGGUAGCACAGAGAGCUUGCUCUCGGGUGACGAGUGGCGGAAGGGUGAGUAAUGUCCGGGGAUCUGCCCGAUAGAGGGGGAUAACCCCUAGCAACGGUGGCUAAUACCGCCUACCGUCGCAAGACAAAAGAGGGGGACCUUCGGGCCUCCCCCUACCGGAGGAACCCAGAUGGGAUUAGCUAGUAGGCGGGGUAAGGGCCCACCUAGGCGACGAUCCCUAGCUGGUCUGAGAGGAUGACCAGCCACACUGGAACUGAGACACGGUCCAGACUCCUACGGGAGGCAGCAGUGGGGAAUAUUGCACAAUGGGCGCAAGCCUGAUGCAGCCAUGCCGCGUGUAUGAAGAAGGCCUUCGGGUUGUAAAGUACUUUCAGCGGGGAGGAAGGCGAUGUGGUUAAUAACCGCGUCGAUUGACGUUACCCGCAGAAGAAGCACCGGCUAACUCCGUGCCAGCAGCCGCCGUAA
RNAcentral lists this ribosomal RNA (504 nucleotides) under uncultured bacterium. RNAcentral's name for it is "partial 16S ribosomal RNA". It matches the Rfam family "Bacterial small subunit ribosomal RNA", at positions 29 to 523 of the family's 1533-position model. The record is from RNAcentral.